This 370-nucleotide ribosomal RNA is filed under the name uncultured Glomeromycotina. RNAcentral's name for it is "eukaryotic LSU rRNA". The record is from RNAcentral. Lineage: Eukaryota; Fungi; Glomeromycota.
UUGAAAGGGAAACGAUUGAAGUCAGUCGUACCGACGAGAAAUCAGCUUAUCGUGUGUGAACUUGCGGGCGUGCGUGAGUUUCGGCCUCGCUGUUUGCAUGUUUGUGCGCUUUGGGUGUACUUUUUCGUAUGGUUGGCCAACAUCAGUUUCGAUCACUAUAAAAUGACUGGCGGAAUGUAGCUUCGAUUUCGGUUGAAGUGUUAUAGCCUCUGGUAGAUGUGGUGAUUGGGACUGAGGAUUGCAACGAAUAUCCUUUGGCUAUCCGUCUGGCCUCUGAAAGUUGCUUGGGUGCUGAAAGCUUGCUUAUGGUUAUCUAAGUUAACGGUCAAUAGGUUAGAACGCGAUUACAUUCGUUAAGGAUGUUGACGUA